CUGGCGGCGUGCCUAAUACAUGCAAGUAGAACGCUGAAGAGAGGAGCUUGCUCUUCUUGGAUGAGUUGCGAACGGGUGAGUAACGCGUAGGUAACCUGCCUUGUAGCGGGGGAUAACUAUUGGAAACGAUAGCUAAUACCGCAUAACAAUGGAUGACACAUGUCAUUUAUUUGAAAGGGGCAAUUGCUCCACUACAAGAUGGACCUGCGUUGUAUUAGCUAGUAGGUGAGGUAAUGGCUCACCUAGGCGACGAUACAUAGCCGACCUGAGAGGGUGAUCGGCCACACUGGGACUGAGACACGGCCCAGACUCCUACGGGAGGCAGCAGUAGGGAAUCUUCGGCAAUGGGGGCAACCCUGACCGAGCAACGCCGCGUGAGUGAAGAAGGUUUUCGGAUCGUAAAGCUCUGUUGUAAGUCAAGAACGGGUGUGAGAGUGGAAAGUUCACACUGUGACGGUAGCUUACCAGAAAGGGACGGCUAACUACGUGCCAGCAGCCGCGGUAAUACGUAGGUCCCGAGCGUUGUCCGGAUUUAUUGGGCGUAAAGCGAGCGCAGGCGGUUUGAUAAGUCUGAAGUUAAAGGCUGUGGCUCAACCAUAGUUCGCUUUGGAAACUGUCAAACUUGAGUGCAGAAGGGGAGAGUGGAAUUCCAUGUGUAGCGGUGAAAUGCGUAGAUAUAUGGAGGAACACCGGUGGCGAAAGCGGCUCUCUGGUCUGUAACUGACGCUGAGGCUCGAAAGCGUGGGGAGCGAACAGGAUUAGAUACCCUGGUAGUCCACGCCGUAAACGAUGAGUGCUAGGUGUUGGAUCCUUUCCGGGAUUCAGUGCCGCAGCUAACGCAUUAAGCACUCCGCCUGGGGAGUACGACCGCAAGGUUGAAACUCAAAGGAAUUGACGGGGGCCCGCACAAGCGGUGGAGCAUGUGGUUUAAUUCGAAGCAACGCGAAGAACCUUACCAGGUCUUGACAUCCCGAUGCUAUUUCUAGAGAUAGAAAGUUACUUCGGUACAUCGGUGACAGGUGGUGCAUGGUUGUCGUCAGCUCGUGUCGUGAGAUGUUGGGUUAAGUCCCGCAACGAGCGCAACCCCUAUUGUUAGUUGCCAUCAUUCAGUUGGGCACUCUAGCGAGACUGCCGGUAAUAAACCGGAGGAAGGUGGGGAUGACGUCAAAUCAUCAUGCCCCUUAUGACCUGGGCUACACACGUGCUACAAUGGUUGGUACAACGAGUUGCGAGUCGGUGACGGCGAGCUAAUCUCUUAAAGCCAAUCUCAGUUCGGAUUGUAGGCUGCAACUCGCCUACAUGAAGUCGGAAUCGCUAGUAAUCGCGGAUCAGCACGCCGCGGUGAAUACGUUCCCGGGCCUUGUACACACCGCCCGUCACACCACGAGAGUUUGUAACACCCGAAGUCGGUGAGGUAACCUUUUGGAGCCAGCCGCCUA
Molecule: ribosomal RNA, 1439 nt
Filed under: Streptococcus thermophilus
Lineage: Bacteria; Bacillati; Bacillota; Bacilli; Lactobacillales; Streptococcaceae
Description: bacterial SSU rRNA
Rfam family: Bacterial small subunit ribosomal RNA
Source: RNAcentral